This 250-nucleotide ribosomal RNA is filed under the name uncultured bacterium. RNAcentral describes it as "partial 16S ribosomal RNA". It matches the Rfam family "Bacterial small subunit ribosomal RNA", at positions 57 to 305 of the family's 1533-position model. The record is from RNAcentral.
GCAAGUCGAGCGGUAACAGAUCUAGCUUUCGAGAUGCUGACUAGCGGCGGACGGGUGAGUAACGCGUAGGAAUCUACCCAGUAGCGGGGGAUAAGCCAGAGAAAUGUGUUCUAAUACCGCAUACGCCCUUCGGGGGAAAGCAGGGGCUCUUCGGACCUUGCACUAUUGGAUGAGCCUGCGUGAGAUUAGCUAGUGGGUGAGGUAAUGGCUCACCAAGGCGACGAUCUCUAGCUGGUCUGAGAGGAUGAUC